CCUACGGGGGGCUGCAGUGGGGAAUAUUGGACAAUGGGGGCAACCCUGAUCCAGCCAUGCCGCGUGUGUGAAGAAGGCCCUCGGGUUGUAAAGCACUUUCAGUGAGGAAGAACGCCUGGUGGUUAAUACCCAUCAGGAAAGACAUCACUCUCAGAAGAAGCACCGGCUAACUCCGUGCCAGCAGCCGCGGUAAUACGGAGGGUGCGAGCGUUAAUCGGAAUUACUGGGCGUAAAGCGCGCGUAGGUGGCUUGAUAAGCCGGUUGUGAAAGCCCCGGGCUCAACCUGGGAACGGCAUCCGGAACUGUCAAGCUAGAGUGCAGGAGAGGAAGGUAGAAUUCCCGGUGUAGCGGUGAAAUGCGUAGAGAUCGGGAGGAAUACCAGUGGCGAAGGCGGCCUUCUGGACUGACACUGACACUGAGGUGCGAAAGCGUGGGUAGCAAACAGGAUUAGAUACCCGGGUAGUC
This 465-nucleotide ribosomal RNA is filed under the name Vreelandella stevensii. Its description in RNAcentral is "partial 16S ribosomal RNA". It matches the Rfam family "Bacterial small subunit ribosomal RNA", at positions 338 to 795 of the family's 1533-position model. Lineage: Bacteria; Pseudomonadati; Pseudomonadota; Gammaproteobacteria; Oceanospirillales; Halomonadaceae. The record is from RNAcentral.